RNAcentral lists this ribosomal RNA (253 nucleotides) under uncultured bacterium. RNAcentral's name for it is "partial 16S ribosomal RNA". It matches the Rfam family "Bacterial small subunit ribosomal RNA", at positions 524 to 776 of the family's 1533-position model. The record is from RNAcentral.
UACGGAGGGGGCUAGCGUUGUUCGGAAUUACUGGGCGUAAAGCGCACGUAGGCGGCUUUGUAAGUUAGAGGUGAAAGCCCGGGGCUCAACUCCGGAAUUGCCUUUAAGACUGCAUCGCUAGAAUUGUGGAGAGGUAAGUGGAAUUCCGAGUGUAGAGGUGAAAUUCGUAGAUAUUCGGAAGAACACCAGUGGCGAAGGCGGCUCACUGGACCGGUAUUGACGCUGAUGUGCGAAAGCGUGGGGAGCAAACAGG